AUGAGAGUUUGUAACACCCGAAGCCGGUGGCGUAACCCUUUUAGGGAGCGAGCCGUCUAAGGUGGGACAAAUGAUUAGGGUGAAGUCGUAACAAGGUAGCCGUAGGAGAACCUGCGGCUGGAUCACCUCCUUUCUAAGGAAACAGACUGAAAGUCUGACGGAAACCUGCACACACGAAACUUUGUUUAGUUUUGAGGGGAUCACCCUCAAGCACCCUAACGGGUGCGACUUUGUUCUUUGAAAACUGGAUAUCAUUGUAUUAAUUGUUUUAAAUUGCCGAGAACACAGCGUAUUUGUAUGAGUUUCUGAAAAAGAAAUUCGCAUCGCAUAACCGCUGACGCAAGUCAGUACAGGUUAAGUUACAAAGGGCGCACGGUGGAUGCCUUGGCACUAGGAGCCGAUGAAGGACGGAACUAAUACCGAUAUGCUUCGGGGAGCUAUAAGUAAGCUUUGAUCCGGAGAUUUCCGAAUGGGGGAACCCAGUACACAUCAGUGUAUUGCUUGUCAGUGAAUACAUAGCUGGCCGGCGGCAGACGCGGGGAACUGAAACAUCUCAGUACCCGCAGGAAGAGAAAGAAAACUCGAUUCCCAUAGUAGCGGCGAGCGAAGUGGGAAGAGCCCAAACCGAGAAGCUUGCUUCUCGGGGUUGUAGGACUGGACAUUGGAGUUACCAAAGUCCGACGUAGUCGAAGUCAGCUGGAAAGCUGCGCCACAGAAGGUGAAAGCCCUGUAAGCGAAACGUCGAACCCUCCGUCCAGGAUCCUGAGUACGGCGGAACACGUGAAAUUCCGUCGGAAUCCGGGAGGACCAUCUCCCAAGGCUAAAUACUCCCUAGUGACCGAUAGUGAACCAGUACCGUGAGGGAAAAGGCGAAAA
RNAcentral lists this unclassified non-coding RNA (876 nucleotides) under Lacticaseibacillus paracasei. RNAcentral describes it as "Lactobacillus paracasei partial contains 16S ribosomal RNA, 16S-23S ribosomal RNA intergenic spacer, and 23S ribosomal RNA". The stretch from base 353 to 876 matches the Rfam family "Bacterial large subunit ribosomal RNA", at positions 1 to 520 of the family's 2925-position model. Lineage: Bacteria; Bacillati; Bacillota; Bacilli; Lactobacillales; Lactobacillaceae. The record is from RNAcentral.